AAACUCGUUCUUUUAGGGCUAUAUACAAGUACUCGGACUACACUACCUGCGCUGUGAUCUCAUUCCCAUAUGGAGAGAAAGAUCAUUGCACAAUGUGGGUGAAAAGGUCUCGAGUGCACAACGUUCCCCAGCACUGCUUGGACAAAUACGAGGAGAUCUGCGACCUCGGAAUACAUCUAGUCGACAGAGACAUCUGCAGAGACGAUGACGACUAAUGAGGCGCCACCGAGCGCCUUCUGACCUACAGCACAUCCUGCAGACGCUAUUAAACGUUCUACCACACGGAGCAUGAUAUACGCGCCUACUAAAGCAUACUAUCCUCCAAAUCCGUACGCAAGCGACGGAGGAACGGGCCACCAACCUCACGAUACGCGCAGGUGUGCACGUUUCAAUGCAAGUAGCACGGUGUUUCCGCAGCCCAAUCAUCGGAUGCGUUCGUGUUUGUGCGGGCGUAUGGUCUCUUCUAAGGUUUAGUAUGGAUGUUAUUUGUUUUGAGUUACUGAUAUUAAAAAUGCAGCAGGAAUAUGAAAAUGA
Long non-coding RNA from Rhipicephalus sanguineus (brown dog tick), 534 nucleotides. RefSeq lists it as uncharacterized. Lineage: Eukaryota; Metazoa; Arthropoda; Arachnida; Ixodida; Ixodidae. The record is from RefSeq and is a predicted model, not a curated record. The transcript has 2 exons.